Molecule: ribosomal RNA, 480 nt
Filed under: uncultured bacterium
Lineage: Bacteria
Description: SSU rRNA
Rfam family: Bacterial small subunit ribosomal RNA
Source: RNAcentral
AGGACGAACGCUGGCGGCGUGCCUAACACAUGCAAGUCGAACGAGGUCCAACCGGUGGCAACACUGGUGAAGACCGAGUGGCGAACGGGUGAGUAACACGUGAGCAACCUGCCUCGAAGACUGGGAUAACCCCGGGAAACCGGAGCUAAUACCGGAUACCCCCACCGGGUCGCAUGGCCUGGUGAGGAAAUGGAUUCCGCUUUGAGAGGGGCUCGCGGCCUAUCAGCUUGAUGGUGGGGUAAUGGCCUACCAUGGCACCGACGGGUAGCUGGUCUGAGAGGACGAUCAGCCACACUGGGACUGAGACACGGCCCAGACUCCUACGGGAGGCAGCAGUGGGGAAUCUUGCGCAAUGGGCGAAAGCCUGACGCAGCAACGCCGCGUGUGGGACGAAGGCCUUCUGGGUUGUAAACCACUUUCAGCAGGGACGAUUGUGACGGUACCUGCAGAAGAGCCCGGCAACUACGUGCCAGCAGCCGC